RNAcentral lists this non-coding RNA (26 nucleotides) under Cricetulus griseus (Chinese hamster). Lineage: Eukaryota; Metazoa; Chordata; Mammalia; Rodentia; Cricetidae. The record is from RNAcentral.
CAGGUGUGUUUCCGGAUCAGGCUGCU